This 253-nucleotide ribosomal RNA is filed under the name uncultured bacterium. RNAcentral describes it as "partial 16S ribosomal RNA". It matches the Rfam family "Bacterial small subunit ribosomal RNA", at positions 524 to 776 of the family's 1533-position model. The record is from RNAcentral.
UACAGAGGGGGCAAGCGUUGUUCGGAAUUACUGGGCGUAAAGGGCUCGUAGGUGGCCAACUAAGUCAGACGUGAAAUCCCUCAGCUUAACUGGGGAACUGCGUCUGAUACUGGAUGGCUUGAGUUUGGGAGAGGGAUGCGGAAUUCCAGGUGUAGCGGUGAAAUGCGUAGAUAUCUGGAGGAACACCGGUGGCGAAGGCGGCAUCCUGGACCAACACUGACACUGAGGAGCGAAAGCCAGGGGAGCAAACGGG